CCCAACUUUUAGAUUUACCUCUUUCCACUCUUCUCUCUGCUCUCCGCACUCUCUCCAUCUCCGCACAUAAGGCUUAGAGCUGUCACAAAUUUUGUACACAUUUUUCUUGACUUUAAAACGCAGAAGCAUAGAUGGGUACUUUCAUGGCUUUUACAAGAUCUCUUGGUCACCACUACAUUAAAAAGUCGAAAUCCCAUAACUUUUCUCAGUUGUUCGAUUUGAGCAAACUGAUAGGUCCUUCUGAGAUUUCCAAUCCUAAUUUCGAUGGCAGUUUUCAUCAAUUACAGAGCCGUAAAACGCUCAUCUUGGAGCCCGCUUCUUCUGAAUCAGUCAAGCUGCAAAGGCUUUCCGAUUCUGAUCCCGGAAUUGUUGAGGUGAAUUUGGAUAGGCCGGGAGCGAAAAAUGCCAUCGGGAAGGAAAUGCUGAGAGGAUUACGGGCAACUUUUGAAACAAUCAGUAGGGAUGACUCUGCUAAUGUUGUUAUGAUAUGCAGCUCGGUUCCCAAAGUGUUCUGUGCAGGAGCUGAUCUGAAGGAGCGUAAGACAAUGACUCCAUCUGAAGUGCAAUUUUUUGUCAACACACUGCGAUCCACAUUCUCACUUAUAGAGGAACUUUGUAUUCCUACAAUUGCUGUUAUUGAAGGAACAGCCUUGGGUGGUGGACUUGAAAUGGCUUUAUCAUGUGAUCUUCGGAUAUGUGAAGAGGAUGCAGUAUUGGGCUUGCCAGAAACAGGACUUGCUAUAAUUCCUGGGGCAGGUGGGACACAAAGACUUCCUAGAUUGGUAGGAAAAUCAGUGGCAAAGGAACUUAUAUUUACUGGUCGGAAGAUUGGUGGCAGGGAGGCCAUGUCAAUUGGUAUGUUUACUGGGAAGUUGUUUGGUGUCUAUAUAUUAAUCCAUAUUUAGUAAUGAAGGUGUGCAAUGCUGCAGGCCUUGUGAAUUACUCUGUACCUGCUGGUGACGCUCGUUUAAAGGCACUUGAAGUUGCUCGGGAAAUUAAUCAGAAGGUACAAUUAUAUAUUCCAUAAAGAUUUCUUAGUCAGCAAAUUAUGUAGCACAGAAGAUCAGUACAGCUGUGCAGAAACAUUUUAGUGACAACCAAAUCAUUAACACACUGCUGGGAACUUUUGGUGUCAUGAUUGGAUCUGUUGCCCAUAUCGUACGUAUAAUAUCCAUGGUUACAAUAAUAUGAUUGAUUUUACAUGGAAUAGUUCACUAAAUGCUGAGAAUUAGAGAUAAGUGAAAGUCUUUGAGUUGCUCUUCUAGCGUGUAAACUGCAUUCCUUCUCUAGUUCUAUUCCUUAUGCACCCCCCAUAAAUGAGAAGAAAAUGCACUUUUCUGCUUCCUGAUGUAUGCAAGUUUUCUAACCUUCUGGUCAUCAUUUUUGCUUAGGAAUUUCAGGCAUGUUGAAAUCCUAUGGAAUAGAAGGUCGUGUAUCCACAAUUAGGACCUUUAAUUCCAUAGCUUGAUGAUCCUUUAUUUUCUGGAUCCGCUAUAUUUGGUUCAAAGAAUUUUAUUUUCUUAUAAACUUACGAGACUAAAAUGAAUUUUACUGGGGUCGGAUGUGUACGGAACAUUUCCCGGUAAAACUGAACCGCAUUAUCUAAAGUGUAACACUGAAUGUUAUUUCAAUGUGAAACAAACAGCAAUUUUUGCUUUUAGUUUCUGCUCAUUCAAACCAACCUGUUUUCUUGACAGGGUCCUAUAGCAAUAAGACUGGCAAAAAAGGCUAUUAAUGAGGGGCUAGGGAUAGAUUUGGCAUCUGCUUUGGAAUUGGAAGAAGAGUGUUAUGAACAGCUGUUGAACACAAAAGAUCGCUUGGAAGGUUUGGCAGCAUUUGCUGAAAAGCGGAAACCAAGGUAUACUGGAGAGUAAACAGGACAAAAUGAUGCAAAGCAAUUUCUUGACAAAGUUGCAGAAAAGCAGAAGCCAAGGUACCAAUUGAAAUAAAACAAUUACAAUUUCAAACUAAAGAACUAAAAUUAUUGAUGCUUAUGAGCAAUGACAAUGUAUAUGUUAUUGUAUUGUAAUUCAUCUUUUAUAUCAUAAUAAAUUUGGUGGUGGUGGUUGGAAUCUUUUCAGUAGUUUAGUGAUAAAUCAGUUUUCAGACUCGCAGAAAAGAUCUUGUAAAACAGAAUGGCUG
Molecule: unclassified non-coding RNA, 2142 nt
Filed under: Hevea brasiliensis (rubber tree)
Lineage: Eukaryota; Viridiplantae; Streptophyta; Magnoliopsida; Malpighiales; Euphorbiaceae
Source: RNAcentral